This 398-nucleotide ribosomal RNA is filed under the name uncultured bacterium. RNAcentral's name for it is "partial 16S ribosomal RNA". It matches the Rfam family "Bacterial small subunit ribosomal RNA", at positions 523 to 918 of the family's 1533-position model. The record is from RNAcentral.
AUACGUAGGGUGCGAGCGUUGUCCGGAAUUACUGGGCGUAAAGAGCUCGUAGGUGGUUUGUCGCGUCGUCUGUGAAAUUCCGGGGCUUAACUCCGGGCGUGCAGGCGAUACGGGCAUAACUUGAGUACUGUAGGGGAGACUGGAAUUCCUGGUGUAGCGGUGAAAUGCGCAGAUAUCAGGAGGAACACCGGUGGCGAAGGCGGGUCGCUGGGCAGUAACUGACGCUGAGGAGCGAAAGCAUGGGUAGCGAACAGGAUUAGAUCCCCUGGUAGUCCAUGCCGUAAACGGUGGGCGCUAGGUGUAGGGGUCUUCCACGACUUCUGUGCCGUAGCUAACGCAUUAAGCGCCCCGCCUGGGGAGUACGGCCGCAAGGCUAAAACUCAAAGGAAUUGACGGGG